GAAUUUGGAGGUGAUGUGUGUGUUGGUCUUCUGUUUUCUGAAAAUGUGGGUCACUGUGUAAACUUUCAUUGAUUCGUCCACCGUCUAUCGCCUAUGAUCUCACUCUAGAUCCAUCGGACAUUAUCGACGUGUAAUUUCUUGGAGCAUUGGUUCUUUUCCCCUCUUGUUUUGGACUAAUGUAUUCAGGCGCAGAUCCUUCCACAGCCGUUGGUUACUUUGAAAAACAGUUGAUUUAAGUUUUGUCAUCCUUUUACCAUGUUGUUCAAUCUUUUUCUGGUUGAGUUUUGUUUUGUUUUUCAUUCUUCUCUGCCGUCCAUUGUUGGUUUCUGUGUUGCCACCAAGCAUUGCACUUUCUUGUUCCCCUUGUACAUUCGCUGAUCACUGACUUUUUGGAGGGAAAUCUGAAAGCAUACAACAAAAAAUAGUAGAGAAAAGAACAUGUCAUGUCGACCACUCUUAGAUCUAGGAAAAGCCAAGCUUCCAACUUUACGAUGCACAUGUCCAGAGAGAGGCCAAUGGAGUAGUUGCCCCUUUUAUUUAAGUGUUUGCAAGUCAUGUCUAUAUGAUAUGUAGUCCAUGUUUUCCCAUGGUAGUAGUACAUAUGAGAUGCUAACUGAAAAGCUGCAAUAGUUAAGCACACAUUUGUUUCUUUCAGUCUUAUAACUUUAUAAUAGCACUACCGUACCAUUCAUCAGUUUAAUUUCCUUGGGUCAUCUGCAAGAUAGGACCUCCUGUCACAGACACAUAUAUGUAUACAAAAAUCUAGUAACUGAGCAAGGACUGAACUGCACAUGCAUGCAGCUUUUAAUCUGAUCCUGAUGGAGCCAAUGAUCUAGCUGGUGUCCCAUUGGAUCCCUUCCUUUGCACAGGCCUUGAGACCCAAUCAACUGACAGUGCCAACUAAAAGAUAACCAUGGCAAAAUCCUUGUUUUGUGAUCUUGAGGGCCAUUGCAUGGUAAAUUAAGAACCAAUUGACCCUUCAUCUUGAGGCAACCGGCCAUCCUAAUUAUAUACAAUGUAAUGCUUGUGUCAUCUGAGGUCAGCAUCCAUGCAGAAGUGUGCUAUAUACAUACAUACUAUAUGGUUGUUGGGAGCAUCACAUAUUACAAAGUACAACCAGGUCUUGAGCUGGAAGCAAUGUGGAUGGGUGUAUGCAUAUGCUAAUUAUUUAUGCAUGUAUGUAUACAUGUAUGUGGCUCCCAAAGCUAGCUGCUGUGAAGCAUCUGAGGAGAAUAAUAAGUAAUGGUGCCAUGGAUCACAAGUGGAGAGUGAUCUGCAUUUAAGUAGGACAGCUCCUACCGGGUGGCGUGUAUCUUCAGACUAGAUUUUGCAGGACUAAAACCAGGGCAGACAGCCUGGCAAGUUUUGUUUAUUAAAAACUUCAGAUAGCAAUGCUUCAUUAAUGGACAGGACAAGGGGCUUUGAUUUUUUAGUGCCUUCGCUACUGGAAAAAAAAAGGGAAAGAGUACAGUCAAAGGGGGGUAUGGAGAUGUUCGAGAGAAUAUUAGCAUGCAUUUCGGGCCCCAUUCGGGCCCCAGGCGUCAGUGACUCCACACGUCACAGGCCUCAUCUUCCGGGCACGCGUCAUCGUGACCGUUGCACUUGCAAACUUCUGUUUGGCAUGUACGUACGUAUCUUCGUAUAGCCAGCCAGCUAGCAAAUUAACCCAGCUUUAUAUAUCAUCUCAAGAGAAAUAAAGAAAAUCCAGCUGUAUAUAUGGAACUGACACGUGUAUGACA
This is a long non-coding RNA of Brachypodium distachyon (stiff brome), 1739 nucleotides long. RefSeq lists it as uncharacterized. Lineage: Eukaryota; Viridiplantae; Streptophyta; Magnoliopsida; Poales; Poaceae. The record is from RefSeq and is a predicted model, not a curated record. The transcript has 4 exons.